RNAcentral lists this unclassified non-coding RNA (217 nucleotides) under Hevea brasiliensis (rubber tree). The record is from RNAcentral. Lineage: Eukaryota; Viridiplantae; Streptophyta; Magnoliopsida; Malpighiales; Euphorbiaceae.
GAAAUACAUAGAUCCGACGUAUAUGAUUCGAGCAAUUCCGAGUAACGCAUCUGACAACGUCUACUGCACGUUGUUGGCCCACAGCGCCAUCCAUGGUGCAAUGGCAGGGUACACGGGUUUCACUGUUGGACCUGUCAAUGGCCGUCACUCUUACAUUCCAUUUCAUAUGAUAACGGAAACACAAAACAAAGUUGUGAUAACUGAUAGGAUGUGGGCA